UGGGGCGUCGCCAAGCGGUAAGGCAACGGGUUUUGGUCCCGUCACUGCGAAGGUUCGAAUCCUUCCGUCCC
Molecule: transfer RNA, 71 nt
Filed under: Hypolytrum nemorum
Lineage: Eukaryota; Viridiplantae; Streptophyta; Magnoliopsida; Poales; Cyperaceae
Description: tRNA-Gln
Rfam family: tRNA
About the family: Transfer RNA (tRNA) molecules are approximately 80 nucleotides in length. Their secondary structure includes four short double-helical elements and three loops (D, anti-codon, and T loops). Further hydrogen bonds mediate the characteristic L-shaped molecular structure. tRNAs have two regions of fundamental functional importance: the anti-codon, which is responsible for specific mRNA codon recognition, and the 3' end, to which the tRNAs corresponding amino acid is attached (by aminoacyl-tRNA synthetases). tRNAs cope with the degeneracy of the genetic code in two manners: having more than one tRNA (with a specific anti-codon) for a particular amino acid; and 'wobble' base-pairing, i.e. permitting non-standard base-pairing at the 3rd anti-codon position.
Source: RNAcentral